Molecule: ribosomal RNA, 253 nt
Filed under: uncultured bacterium
Lineage: Bacteria
Description: partial 16S ribosomal RNA
Rfam family: Bacterial small subunit ribosomal RNA
Source: RNAcentral
UACGUAGGGGGCAAGCGUUGUCCGGAUUUACUGGGCGUAAAGAGCGUGUAGGCGGCCAAGCAGGUCCGUUGUGAAAACUGGAGGCUUAACCUCCAGACGUCGACGGAAACCGCGUGGCUAGAGUCCGGAAGAGGAGAGUGGAAUUCCUGGUGUAGCGGUGAAAUGCGCAGAUAUCAGGAAGAACACCAAUGGCGAAGGCAGCUCUCUGGGACGGUACUGACGCUGAGGCACGAAGGCCAGGGGAGCAAACGGG